This 465-nucleotide ribosomal RNA is filed under the name uncultured bacterium. RNAcentral's name for it is "partial 16S ribosomal RNA". It matches the Rfam family "Bacterial small subunit ribosomal RNA", at positions 338 to 795 of the family's 1533-position model. The record is from RNAcentral.
CCUACGGGUGGCAGCAGUGGGGAAUAAUGCGCAAUGGGCGAAAGCCUGACGCAGCGACGCCGCGUGAGGGAUGAAGGUCUUCGGAUCGUAAACCUCUGUCAGCAGGGAAGAACGGUCACUGUGCUAAUCAGCAGUGAAUUGACGGUACCUGCAAAGGAAGUACCGGCUAACUCCGUGCCAGCAGCCGCGGUAAUACGGAGGGUGCGAGCGUUAAUCGGAAUUACUGGGCGUAAAGCGCUCGUAGGCGGUAUGUCAAGUCAAGGGUGAAAUCCCCGCGCUCAACGUGGGAACUGCCUUUGAAACUGGCAGACUGGAGUGUGUGAGAGGAGAGUGGAAUUCCAGGUGUAGGAGUGAAAUCCGUAGAUAUCUGGAGGAACAUCAGUGGCGAAGGCGACUAUCUGGCACAUAACUGACGCUGAGGAGCGAAAGCGUGGGUAGCAAACAGGAUUAGAUACCCUAGUAGUC